UGUGUAGAGAGAUAAAAUAUGUACAAGGUUUCCGUAGGUGAACCUGCGGAAGGAUCAUUA
RNAcentral lists this ribosomal RNA (60 nucleotides) under Phytophthora hibernalis. Its description in RNAcentral is "partial 18S ribosomal RNA". Lineage: Eukaryota; Oomycota; Peronosporomycetes; Peronosporales; Peronosporaceae. The record is from RNAcentral.